CCCGUCUCCGCCGGCUCAGACCCUGACCUCGAUCCUUCCCCUGCCAGGCCGCUUCCGCUUUCCUACAGGCUUCUGGACGGGGAGGCAGCCCUCCCGGCCGUCGUCUUUUUGCACGGGCUCUUCGGCAGCAAAACUAACUUCAACUCCAUCGCCAAGAUCUUGGCCCAGCAGACAGGCCGUAGGGUGCUGACGGUGGAUGCUCGUAACCACGGUGACAGCCCCCACAGCCCAGACAUGAGCUACGAGAUCAUGAGCCAGGACCUGCAGGACCUUCUGCCCCAGCUGGGCCUGGUGCCCUGCGUCGUCGUUGGCCACAGCAUGGGAGGAAAGACAGCCAUGCUGCUGGCACUACAGAGGGACAUGGCCGUGCGGCAGCACCUGCUCACUAACCUGGUAGAGGUAGACGGGCGCUUCGUGUGGAGGGUGAACUUGGAUGCCCUGACCCAGCACCUAGACAAGAUCUUGGCUUUCCCACAGAGGCAGGAGUCCUACCUCGGGCCAACACUCUUUCUCCUUGGUGGAAACUCCCAGUUCGUGCAUCCCAGCCACCACCCUGAGAUUAUGCGGC
RNAcentral lists this small RNA (568 nucleotides) under Pan troglodytes (chimpanzee). RNAcentral's name for it is "retained intron". Lineage: Eukaryota; Metazoa; Chordata; Mammalia; Primates; Hominidae. The record is from RNAcentral.